GCCAGACUCCUACGGGAGGCAGCAGUGAGGAAUAUUGGUCAAUGGGCGAGAGCCUGAACCAGCCAAGUCGCGUGAGGGAAGACGGUCCUAUGGAUUGUAAACCUCUUUUGCCGGGGAGCAAAAGGCGGUACGUGUACCGCAUCGAGAGUACCCGGAGAAAAAGCAUCGGCUAACUCCGUGCCAGCAGCCGCGGUAAUACGGAGGAUGCGAGCGUUAUCCGGAUUUAUUGGGUUUAAAGGGUGCGUAGGCGGAAUGCCAAGUCAGGGGUAAAAUCGCGGGGCUCAACCUCGCUCCGCCGUUGAAACUGGCGUUCUUGAGUGGGCGAGAAGUAUGCGGAAUGCGUGGUGUAGCGGUGAAAUGCAUAGAUAUCACGCAGAACUCCGAUUGCGAAGGCAGCAUACCGGCGCCCAACUGACGCUGAAGCACGAAAGCGUGGGUAUCGAACAGGAUUAGAUACCCCAGUAGC
RNAcentral lists this ribosomal RNA (466 nucleotides) under uncultured bacterium. Its description in RNAcentral is "bacterial SSU rRNA". It matches the Rfam family "Bacterial small subunit ribosomal RNA", at positions 330 to 794 of the family's 1533-position model. The record is from RNAcentral.